This 206-nucleotide ribosomal RNA is filed under the name uncultured bacterium. RNAcentral's name for it is "partial 16S ribosomal RNA". It matches the Rfam family "Bacterial small subunit ribosomal RNA", at positions 568 to 773 of the family's 1533-position model. The record is from RNAcentral.
CGCGUAGGCGGCUUGGCAAGUCUGGUGUGAAAUCUCACAGCUUAACUGUGAAACUGCAUCAGAAACUGCUUGGCUAGAGUGCGGGAGAGGAGAGUGGAAUUCCCAGUGUAGAGGUGAAAUUCGUAGAUACUGGGAGGAACACCGGUGGCGAAGGCGGCUCUCUGGACCGCAACUGACGCUGAGGCGCGAAAGCUAGGGGAGCGAAC